This 496-nucleotide ribosomal RNA is filed under the name uncultured bacterium. RNAcentral's name for it is "partial 16S ribosomal RNA". It matches the Rfam family "Bacterial small subunit ribosomal RNA", at positions 28 to 506 of the family's 1533-position model. The record is from RNAcentral.
GAUGAACGCUGGCGGCGUGCCUAAUACAUGCAAGUCGAGCGAACAGACGAGGAGCUUGCUCCUCUUACGUUAGCGGCGGGCGGGUGAGUAACACGUGGAUAACCUCCCUAUAAGACUGGGAUAACUUCGGGAAACCGGAGCUAAUACCGGAUAAUAUAUUUAACCGCAUUGUUCAAUAGUGAAAGACGGGUUUGCUGUCACUUAUAGAUGGAUCCGCGCCGCAUUAGCUAGUUGGUAAGGUAACGGCUUACCAAGGCAACGAUCCGUAGCCGACCUGAGAGGGGGAUCGGCCACACAGGAAGUGAGACACGGUCCAGACACCUACGGGAGGCAGCAGUAGGGAAUCUACCGCAGUGGGCGAAAGACUGACGGAGCAACGCAGCGUGAGUGAUGAAGGUCGUCGGAUCGUAAAACUCUGUUAUUAGGGAAGAACAAAUGUGUAAGUAACUAUGCACGUCUUGACGGUACCUAAGCAGAAAGCCACGGCUAACUACGU